Molecule: long non-coding RNA, 473 nt
Organism: Vigna angularis (adzuki bean)
Lineage: Eukaryota; Viridiplantae; Streptophyta; Magnoliopsida; Fabales; Fabaceae
Exons: 3
Source: RefSeq, a predicted model, not a curated record
UGUUAUCCCUAGGUCUAUUCUAUUUUGAAUAACGAUAUAUAUUUUUAAACAUUGAUAGUGUUUAUAUGAUUAUAUUUUGCUUGACCAAUGUUUUAAUUAUAAUUUCGUAUAUUGCAGCUGUGUCAAAAGUGUAUGCGCCAAGAAGCUCGAUUUCUUAAAUUAAAGUCACUAUAUGCCAGCAAAGUUGAAGUGCAGGACUAUAAGCUUCUUUGCUUGGCUGCUGUUGAAGUAAGAGAUCAAAAGUUCACUUUAGUUGGAAUUCUUGGUAGCUGGUGGGACUUUGCCACAUUUACAAUUUUGGGAAGCAUUCUCUUUUGUCAGAAACAGAAUUGAAAGUAUCUUGGUGAGAACAACUUAACCAGGGAGUUGUUUUGCCCCCUUCUGGAGUUUCAACUAAACCAUUGAAGAAGAAAUGGGAGAGAGGAAGAAUAGAUGAACGAUGAAAUAGACUCAGUUAAAUAGUGUUAAACACG